GAUGAACGCUGACAGAAUGCUUAACACAUGCAAGUCAACUUGAACUUCGGUUUGGGUGGCGGACGGGUGAGUAACGCGUAAAGAACUUGCCUCACAGCUAGGGACAACAUUUGGAAACGAAUGCUAAUACCUGAUAUUAUGAUUAUAUGGCAUCGUAUAAUUAUGAAAGCUAUAUGCGCUGUGAGAGAGCUUUGCGUCCCAUUAGCUAGUUGGAGAGGUAACAGCUCACCAAGGCGAUGAUGGGUAGCCGGCCUGAGAGGGUGAUCGGCCACAAGGGGACGCAGACACGCCCCGUAUCCCUCCGGGGGGAGCAGGAGGGGAAAAUAGGGGAAUGGAGCGAGAGUGUGAUACAGAGAUUGUGUGUGUGCAAUGAAGUUUUUCGGGAUGUAAAGUGCUCUCAGUUGGGAAGAAAAAAAUGACGGUACCAACAGAAGAAGUGACGGCUAAAUACGUG
Molecule: ribosomal RNA, 454 nt
Filed under: uncultured bacterium
Lineage: Bacteria
Description: partial 16S ribosomal RNA
Rfam family: Bacterial small subunit ribosomal RNA
Source: RNAcentral